AUGAACGCUGGCGGCGUGCCUCAUACAUGCAAGUCGAGCGAACGGACGAGAAGCUUGCCUCUCUGAUGUUAGCGGCGGACGGGUGAGUAACACGUGGAUAACCUACCUAUAAGACUGGGAUAACUUCGGGAAACCGGAGCUAAUACCGGAUAAUAUUUUGAACCGCAUGGUUCAAAAGUGAAAGACGGUCUUGCUGUCACUUAUAGAUGGAUCCGCGCUGCAUUAGCUAGUUGGUAAGGUAACGGCUUACCAAGGCAACGAUGCAUAGCCGACCUGAGAGGGUGAUCGGCCACACUGGAACUGAGACACGGUCCAGACUCCUACGGGAGGCAGCAGUAGGGAAUCUUCCGCAAUGGGCGAAAGCCUGACGGAGCAACGCCGCGUGAGUGAUGAAGGUCUUCGGAUCGUAAAACUCUGUUAUUAGGGAAGAACAUAUGUGUAAGUAACUGUGCACAUCUUGACGGUACCUAAUCAGAAAGCCACGGCUAACUACGUG
Molecule: ribosomal RNA, 496 nt
Filed under: uncultured bacterium
Lineage: Bacteria
Description: partial 16S ribosomal RNA
Rfam family: Bacterial small subunit ribosomal RNA
Source: RNAcentral